GUGGGGAAUUUUGCGCAAUGGGGGAAACCCUGACGCAGCGACGCCGCGUGGAGGAUGAAGGCCUUCGGGUUGUAAACUUCUUUUACCGGGGAAAAUAAUGAUGGUACCCGGGGAAUAAGCCACGGCUAACUCUGUGCCAGCAGCCGCGGUAAGACAGAGGUGGCAAGCGUUGUUCGGAAUCACUGGGCUUAAAGGGCGCGUAGGCGGUAGUGCAAGUCUGAUGUGGAAUCCUAUGGCUUAACCAUAGAACUGCCUUGGAAACUGCAUAACUUGAGUCAGUAAGGGGAGGGCAGAAUUCCCGGUGUAGCAGUGAAAUGCGUAGAUAUCGGGAGGAAGGCCGGUGGCGAAGGCGGCCCUCUGGUGCUUGACUGACGCUGAGGCGCUAAAGCGUGGGUAGCAAACAGGAUUAGAAACCCUUGUAGUCC
RNAcentral lists this ribosomal RNA (425 nucleotides) under uncultured bacterium. RNAcentral's name for it is "bacterial SSU rRNA". It matches the Rfam family "Bacterial small subunit ribosomal RNA", at positions 354 to 796 of the family's 1533-position model. The record is from RNAcentral.